CUCACUGGUCGAGUCGGCCUGCGCGGAAGAUGUAACGGGGCUAAACCAUGCACCGAAGCUGCGGCAGCGACGCUUAUGCGUUGUUGGGUAGGGGAGCGUUCUGUAAGCCUGUGAAGGUGUGCUGUGAGGCAUGCUGGAGGUAUCAGAAGUGCGAAUGCUGACAUAAGUAACGAUAAAGCGGGUGAAAAGCCCGCUCGCCGGAAGACCAAGGGUUCCUGUCCAACGUUAAUCGGGGCAGGGU
This 241-nucleotide ribosomal RNA is filed under the name Escherichia coli. RNAcentral describes it as "partial 23S ribosomal RNA". It matches the Rfam family "Bacterial large subunit ribosomal RNA", at positions 1141 to 1380 of the family's 2925-position model. Lineage: Bacteria; Pseudomonadati; Pseudomonadota; Gammaproteobacteria; Enterobacterales; Enterobacteriaceae. The record is from RNAcentral.